This is a long non-coding RNA of Carassius gibelio (silver crucian carp), 1261 nucleotides long. RefSeq lists it as uncharacterized. The transcript is spliced from 6 exons. The record is from RefSeq and is a predicted model, not a curated record. NCBI's taxonomy places the organism in Eukaryota, Metazoa, Chordata, Actinopteri, Cypriniformes, Cyprinidae.
AGUAACCCCAGAGUGCAGUCUGGACGAUGGGGCGGGGCGACACUUCGAGGCGGAGCGACACGUGUCGCCCCGCCCAUAUUUGUUUUCCCCGCCUUUGACAUGUUCCUCCGAGCCAGCAGGGGGCAGUUUGCGUUGAAACAAACAGAACGGUGGCAACUACAGCAGCAGAGUAAUAACGCUAUUCCGUUGAUUGCUUGAGGUGAGUAAAAGUUGUUGUGUAAAUAUCUUAUAAUAUGAAAUGCGAUGUUCGAUCAUUUAUUUAUCCAUGGUACGUUCAAUUUGAAUAAUUAUUGUUAAUAAUUGUUAUAAAUUGCUAAUUUUAUUGUUCUUUGUGGAUUGUAACAGUACACUCUGUACAUGGCUUUAGUUCAUAGGUUCGAUUUUACAGAGGUAUGGCAUCACAUUUGUCAAGUUAUUUGAACAGACAUGCAUGAUUUUUGUGUGUAUAUUAUUAUUAUUAUUAUUAUUAUUAUUAUUAUUCAGGAUGACAUGAUCAGGAGGUGGUGGUGUUCUGUUCUCCUGGACAGUUUCACUCCGCAAAUAGCUCAACCACUGAGGAGAACUUCACCAUUCACCAUGUCUUCAGGCAGAGUCCAGCAAAGCAGCUUCCCCUGGAAAUCCUCAGGGAAGUUAUUUUGUCGGCGAGUGACUCUGCAUAUUUGACACUUUCUCUGGUUUGCAGAUGGUUUAGGGAUGUGCUCCGAAGUUUUUCGGAAAGUGGCACAGUUUGCCUGGCUAGACAUUGUGGCCAACUGGAAGAAUUGUCCUCCUGUCUCCUGACAGGAACGAGUUCAGAUGGAUGUACAGCAUCAGGGAAUGCUUGCAGUGCAGAGCCCUUUUCAAGUUUAACCCCCCAGGGUACAGGGAAGAGACCGGCGUGGUGAUCUUCUGAUACAGAUGGAUCUCUCAAAUCAGAAGGUUACAAUGACCACAAUAGCCAAGCGGGAAGUUAUAGGAACGAGUUCAGAUGGAUGUACAGCAUCAGGGAAUGCUUGCAGUGCAGAGCCCUUUUCAAGUUUAACCCCCCAGGGUACAGGGAAGAGACUGGCGUGGUGAUCUUCUGGGCUUUUGUUUACACAGGAUUUUGUUCCAAGGACUGUUUUUUUUUUUUUUUUUCGGCAUGAAACACAUUUGUGUGUUAAGUUCAUUGAAGGGAAAUAGAGAAUGGACUGAGAUCAACUGGUUUUGAUGUAUUAAUUGAUUUCAUUUAAAGUUAAACUUUGCAGUGUAUAAUGUUUUAAUAAAAAAGCUAUGGAAAACA